UACGAAGGGGGCUAGCGUUGUUCGGAAUUACUGGGCGUAAAGCGCGCGCAGGCGGUUUUCCAAGUCAGUGGGGAAAGCCCGGAGCUCAACUCCGGAACUGCCAUUGAAACUGUUAAACUUGAGGACGAGAGAGGUGAGUGGAAUUCCCAGUGUAGAGGUGAAAUUCGUAGAUAUUGGGAAGAACACCAGUGGCGAAGGCGGCUCACUGGCUCGUAUCUGACGCUCAGGCGCGAUAGCGUGGGGAUCAAACAGG
RNAcentral lists this ribosomal RNA (253 nucleotides) under uncultured bacterium. RNAcentral describes it as "partial 16S ribosomal RNA". It matches the Rfam family "Bacterial small subunit ribosomal RNA", at positions 524 to 776 of the family's 1533-position model. The record is from RNAcentral.